This is a long non-coding RNA of Wasmannia auropunctata (little fire ant), 608 nucleotides long. RefSeq lists it as uncharacterized. The transcript has 3 exons. The record is from RefSeq and is a predicted model, not a curated record. NCBI's taxonomy places the organism in Eukaryota, Metazoa, Arthropoda, Insecta, Hymenoptera, Formicidae.
UAUCGAUCGGUUUCGGCCGAAGCCAACCGCCUUUACACACGACAGUCCCGACUCACGAGCGACGCGAAGGUUCCUCUCCUUGAAAUGCGAGUCACAAAUCAAUGCGGGACGACCAUCCGAUUUCCCUCUCGAAAUCGGAUUAAUUUCCAAUCCUGUACAUUUCAGAGCGUAUCGUUAUAUGCCAGCAUAUAAUAGGAAGUCCAUAAUAAUUUACAAAUUCAAACGAUCCACUUAAAUGUCACAUAUGGCGGUAUGUGCAGGCACGGAAACCGAUCACUCUUUCACUGCGAGGGUAAUAAAUUAUUUGAAGUUCUCUCGGCACGUCCAUCCUUCGCUGUUGACCAUUCCAUCCUGCUGUUGACCGCUAUUCUAACCGUCGAGCGACAUGACCAACUUCUGUAUGUCCAACUGUAUGUCUGCGGCGGGUCGGUAUAGCUACUUAUUAAUGGGAAGACUUGUUGCUCCGUCACGACACUGCAGUUGCAGUUCCAUUGUAGUUUAUGCGGCUGACGCUCUCCGAUUUUGAAGAGAUGUACGGUUUUUUUUUACGCAUUUAUACAGGUUUGCGAGUUGAGAUAAAUAAUAUGAGAUAAAUAACGACACAACAA